Molecule: ribosomal RNA, 211 nt
Filed under: uncultured bacterium
Lineage: Bacteria
Description: partial 16S ribosomal RNA
Rfam family: Bacterial small subunit ribosomal RNA
Source: RNAcentral
AAUCAACGCUGGCGGCGUGCCUAACACAUGCAAGUCGAACGCGAAAGUGGAGCAAUCCAUGAGUAGAGUGGCAAACGGGUGAGUAACGCGUGGGUGACCUGCCUUCGAGUGGGGGAUAACGUUCCGAAAGGGACGCUAAUACCGCAUGACAGUCCUGCCUUUGAAGAGGCGGAGAUCAAAGCCGGGGAUCGCAAGACCUGGGCGCUUGGUU